RNA transcript from Clupea harengus (Atlantic herring), 2361 nucleotides. It is a transcript of the gene named proline and serine rich 3, with no coding region annotated. The transcript is spliced from 7 exons. The record is from RefSeq and is a predicted model, not a curated record. Lineage: Eukaryota; Metazoa; Chordata; Actinopteri; Clupeiformes; Clupeidae.
UAUAUUCAUUCACAUUAAUCAUUAAAAAUCUCUUUUGAAUGAUUUUAUGUAAAUGGAGAGUCAGUCCAUAGUAAUAGUAUAUUUGCAAUCACCACCCCUUGCAUAUUAUUGUUGGCACAAGAAUUAUAUUGACUUUUAUUUGUGUGUGUCCCAGGGACUGACCAACUCUUCUCACUCAGCUGAGAGUUUUAAGAUGCAGGAUAAAGACAGAAGGUUGCUGGAUAUGAGCACACGUUCCCUCAAUAGUGAUUCACCCCUGGUCAGCCCUGAGGGACUCGGCUGUUCUGACUUCUCCUCUUUGGAGAGCAUAGGUGAGCCAGUUGGACAGCCAUUGGAGAGGAGCCUACACCGCUCAGACCCUGCCAUUACAAACUUGGCCUUCUCAAAACAUCUGGCACCCACACAACCUUCAGUAGUGGGCUAUUCUGCUUCACGUGUGAAGCCAGAGGAUGAUAUUCUGUUCCAGUGGAGACUCAGGAGGAAGAUGGAGCAGUCAGGCCAUCAGCUUCAGUGUCUUCUCCAACGCUCCGUCCCUCACAGCUCUCUCGGCAGCCUUCCACAACAAAUGACUCAGAAUAACUGGCUUAUCAGGGACCUCUCAAGUACAGUGGAGGGCACUUUCACUCGUGCCCCACCAGAAACACGUGCUCAGGACCCCUCUCUUCCCUUUACCUUUCCACAGCCCAGUUUGUCAGCGUUCCAGCCUAAGCACCACAUCUCUCCACACACAUCCCCCUUCAACGGUGGCCCGCCAUGCCCUCUCCAAAGCUCUCCCAUAUUAUUGCCCAAUGAGAGUAGGCAGCCGCGGAAGAAGAGUUCCACUGAUCCUGACAUGUGCGCACAAUUAUCAUCAGACCAGCUCAGCUUCCAAAAUGCCUUGAGCAACCAGCGCAACAAACUCCAUUCAUCCCUUCAUCAGCACCUCCCUGAAAACAAAGAGGGACACCGCCGUCUUAUCUCCAGGACGAGUGGGAAAGGAGGGAAAAGUGCAAUGUCACAGGGGGAAGGAACAGAGGCUGAGACGGGAAAGAAAAGAAAUGGCACUUCCUCCAGUAAACAAAAGGGUUCGAGGUAGGUAGGUUUCAGGAUUGUGUCCUGCAGGUGUUCAUAUAAGUAUAUCCGUGGUGGGAUAUAAUUAUGAAAUAAUUUGAUAUUCCACAUCAUAUUACUCCACAUCAACCUACAAUUCCAAAUAAGACUUUGUAGUUUAUGAACUAAAAUAAAUAAAGAAAUGACCUUCAUAUUCUUAAAUUAUCAUGAAAAAUGCCUGCUUUGAUGAAACACAGAUGAUGUUUUCCAAAAAUAUAUAUAUGUUCAUAUUGAAAACCGCAACAUCCCACUCUUCGUGAGCAGGGUUUCAAUCUUGGAUUGAAAACGGAUUGGAACAAUGGAAAAUGAUGGCCGAUACAUUUGACCGUUAUUUCUCUACUAUUAACCAUGGCUUAUAGAUUCAUUUAGUUCAAUUUCUGCAGCCCUGCUGUUACUACCACCCAUAGUUUAUUGGGUACAGACUGAGGACCGCAUUGUUAAUAUCUGUCCAGUUGGUUAAAUCAAUGCCUGCUUAUUAUGGAAUGAAACCCACACCGCUGUGUUGUGUUUUAGACAUGGAAGGCAUGUGGAUCAUGCAGCCAGGCCUCACCCUGCCAUGGGAGGAAGAGGAGGAGGAGGAGGAGGAGGAGGAGGAGGAGGAGGAGGCCCAGAUGGCAAGAGGCAUGGCAAGGAACGAAGACGGGAAGCUUUACCUUUCUCUCCCGUACACAGCACUCUUGGAAUGGUGGUCUCGGAAGUUCUUUUUCCUGAUUCGGGAUCCGCAGACACCUCCAGAAUGUCAAGCCUCACUGACUCUUGUGAAGAUACUCAACCAUUUCCACCACAGACCUGUACCAAUCCUCAUAGCCUGCAGAGCCCUUCAGAGAUCAUUACUAAGCUUCUCAAGGAGGCAGAGGAUUCAGAUGAGCUGGAGUUUGAGGACGACCCCUUACUGCUGGUACUGAGAGAGCAGAGAGGCUGUGUGAAGCAACGCAUAUGCGAGAUGGAUAUGUUGCUUGAAGCAUGGCAUGAAAAACAACCCCUCUGACAUUUCAGAAUCUCUCCAAAUACACUCAAUCCUGUAUAAUUUUAACUUAUUGUAAAUAAAUUAUGAAUGUUGAAAAUGUUAACAUUUUGUACCAUACCUGAGUAGAUAUGUAAUUUGUUUGUUUAUAUGACUGUGGAAAAACUUAAUACAAGCAACAAAGAAAUGUAAGAGUCAGUCCUUUCAUUUCAGACAUGCUGUUUUGUGGAGGUGGAAUAUUAAUUAUAGUUAAGUAAACUGUAGUCAAAGCUUUGUAUAUUUUCAUUAAAGUUACAUUCACAUCAUCA